AAGAUAUUAGUAAAACAAUUACAAGUCCUUGUCGAGGCCUAAUUACUAGUUUGAACCUUGUAUAUCUUA
RNAcentral lists this transfer RNA (69 nucleotides) under Paramesotriton qixilingensis. RNAcentral describes it as "tRNA-Asp". Lineage: Eukaryota; Metazoa; Chordata; Amphibia; Caudata; Salamandridae. The record is from RNAcentral.